GCCUAACACAUGCAGUCGAGGGGCAGCACAGAAAUUCAGCAAUGAGUUUUGGUGGCGACCGGCGGACGGGUGCGUAACGCGUAUGCAACCUACCUAUUACAGGGGGAUAACGGGGGGAAACCUCCACUAAUACCCCAUAACAUUUUGACCGGCAUCGGUUGGAGUUAAAAACUCAGGUGGUAAUAGAUGGGCAUGCGUUGUAUUAGAUAGUUGGUGAGGUAACGGCUCACCAAGUCGACGAUACAUAGGGGGACUGAGAGGUUAACCCCCCACACUGGAACUGAGACACGGUCCAGACUCCUACGGGAGGCAGCAGUGAGGAAUAUUGGUCAAUGGGGGCAACCCUGAACCAGCCAUGCCGCGUGCAGGAAGACGGCUCUAUGAGUUGUAAACUGCUUUUAUAUAGGGAUAAAUUAUCGUACGUGUACGAUAUUGAAGGUACUAUAUGAAUAAGGAUCGGCUAACUCCGUGCCAGCAGCCGCGGUAAUACGGAGGAUCCAAGCGUUAUCCGGAUUUAUUGGGUUUAAAGGGUGCGUAGGCGGUUAGGUAAGUUAGCGGUGAAAUCUCGGGGCUCAACCCCGAAAUUGCCGUUAAAACUGCUUGACUAGAGAGUAGAUGCGGUAGGCGGAAUGUGUAGUGUAGCGGUGAAAUGCUUAGAGAUUACACAGAACCCCGAUUGCGAAGGCAGCUUACCAAUCUAUAUCUGACGUUGAGGCACGAAAGCGUGGGUAGCAAACAGGAUUAGAUACCCUGGUAGUCCACGCAGUAAACGAUGAUAGCUCGUUGUCGGCGAUACACAGUCGGUGACUUAGCGAAAGCGUUAAGCUAUCCACCUGGGGAGUACGUUCGCAAGAAUGAAACUCAAAGGAAUUGACGGGGGCCCGCACAAGCGGAGGAACAUGUGGUUUAAUUCGAUGAUACGCGAGGAACCUUACCCGGGCUUGAAAGUUAGUGACAGGGGUGGAAACACCCUCUCCCUUCGGGGCACAAAACUAGGUGCUGCAUGGUUGUCGUCAGCUCGUGCCGUGAGGUGUCGGAUUAAGUUCCAUAACGAGCGCAACCCUUGCCGUUAGUUGCCAUCAGGUCAUGCUGGGCACUCUAACGGGACUGCCGGUGUAAACCGCGAGGAAGGUGGGGAUGACGUCAAAUCAGCACGGCCCUUACGUCCGGGGCGACACACGUGUUACAAUGGUCGGUACAGAGGGCAGCUACCCAGCGAUGGGAUGCGAAUCUCGAAAGCCGAUCUCAGUUCGGAUCGGAGGCUGAAACUCGCCUCCGUGAAGUUGGAUUCGCUAGUAAUCGCGCAUCAGCCAUGGCGCGGUGAAUACGUUCCCGGGCCUUGUACACACCGCCCGUCAAGCCAUGGAAGCCGGGGGUGCCUGAAGUACGCUACCGCAAGGAGCGUCCUAGGGCAAAANCUGAAAAGGGG
This 1429-nucleotide ribosomal RNA is filed under the name uncultured bacterium. RNAcentral's name for it is "bacterial SSU rRNA". It matches the Rfam family "Bacterial small subunit ribosomal RNA". The record is from RNAcentral.